Non-coding RNA from Taeniopygia guttata (zebra finch), 3934 nucleotides. Lineage: Eukaryota; Metazoa; Chordata; Aves; Passeriformes; Estrildidae. The record is from RefSeq and is a predicted model, not a curated record.
CCUGGGGGGGCGGCGGUCCCGGUGUCGGUCCCGGUGUCGGUCCCGGUGUUGCCGCGGGUCCGGGGAGGCUCCUCUUUCCCAGAGGAAUGGGCCACCAGCGCCUCCGCCUGCCUUCCUGUCCUCGUGGAGGUGCGGGGAAGUGCGUGGUCCCAGCCCUCCGUGCGAUCGGUUUGAGUAGUAAAUGCGAAAAUUGGCGGUUUCUGGUUGAGCUCCCGAAUUUAUGUUCCCACAGUGUUUCUCCAUGCUGCUUAGGAGCCAGUUAUUCAGAAUUAAUUCUCAUGUCAGCAGACAGCUCGACCGUCACGGUUCGUCUCGUCCGCUCCUUCGAGCACCGCAAUUUCCGACCCCUGGUGUACCACGGAGUUCCCCUGGAUCAGACAGUGAAGGAGUUCAUGGCUUUUGUGCGCAGGGAUGUGUCUUCAAGAUCAGGACUUCCUCCUCCUUUUAAAAAUUACAAGUAUGAUACAAUGAAGAUUAUUCACCAAGCACACAAAUCUAAGACUGGUGAGCUUGUAGUGAGUUUGGAAGAUGAUGACAAACUGAUUUUGCAGGAAGACAGCACGCUGAAAGCAGCUGGAGUAGGCAUAAAAGGCAGUGCAGUUCAGGAGAGGAACUGAUGACAGUGCCAAAUGUUGAAUUAGAAAUAACAAAGCUGUCUUCUUUUAAAAAGCAAAUGAGACGGAAUUAGCAUUCUUCUGUGAGGAAGAUUACAGAAACUACAGAGCUAAUCCUGUUUCGGCCUGGUGAAGAUCCCAAGAGAUUGUUUUGUUUUCCCAUACCUGUUGUAAAUUUUCCUUAUUCUGCUUAAUGAGAUUUUUCUUAAAGAUCAAUAAAUCCUAGAGGAUUUCUUUGCAAACAGUGCAAUUCCCUUCCUAUAGAAAUUAAUUUCUGUCAGUAUGCUAAGGCUGAGAGAAGAAAAACUGGGGGACAUAAGUGACUUUUUUCUUCCUUUUCUUUUUGCUGUGCUUGGCUCUUGAGCCUCAGGCAGUGCCAUCCCUGACCCGUGACACACGUUCUUGGUGUGAUCCCACAGCAGGCAGUAACUGCACAUGGAAAUUAGAGAAUGCACAGGAUGAUCCCAUCACAGUACCAACUUCUAAUGAAAAUGAAGUGAAACCUCCUUCAAAUAAAAUGAAAUAUUUUAUGACCAAAUCACUGGGUAUUUUAAAGAACUUGAGAAGAGAAUAUCUUUAUUUCUAGUCACAGCUUUACUUCUCUCAUUUUAUAUUUGGUCUCUUUUGUUUAAAUAGUGCAGACUGGCCAGUGUUUCAUGCUUUUCAGUGGUGAAUGCUUUCCAUUAUGCUCUCUUCCAGCCCUCUUUAGCAUGCUGAAAGGGACAAAUGGCUCUUGGGAGGCUUUUGUGUCCACAGACCAGCUCGCCUGUUUCUAGCUUUACUUCAUGGAGACCUUCACAUGGGGGUAGCAGCUCGGGUUCUGCCAGGACAUCAGCCUGCCUAAGGAGGAGUUGGGCAUUUUUCCAAGUGGAGUGAAAGCUCAUGGUUUCAGUUUUAAGAAUAAAACCUGAAUGAUUGCAUUUUUUGUGAGGAGAGGCCCAGCCUGUGAGCCACAUGUCUUUGAGGCUGGAAUUGAUUCCUUUAUGCUCUCCAUGAGGCAAAUACUCUGUUGCUAUGUGUUUGUUCUUGGUAAUGCUGGGUUUUCCUACUACAUAGGCCAAAUUAAGAAUAAUAGAAAAUAAUCACGCAUCCAAUAAAGUAGUUUUAGGUAGACAUCACUCAUGAAAUGCUUUUUAGGGGGUACCCACAUGGGACACUGUGCCUGUAAGCCUCCCUUCACUGCAAUAGGAAUGAUGCUGGCUCUCUGCCUUAGCAGGCUUUUUGGGCACAGCCUCUGCUAAAUUGAAUGAGAUCUCACUUGCAAUUGCUUUAGACCUACACAUCUAUGCUGAGCUCUGGGUGGGAGCUGACAAUGCUAUAUCAUGAGACUUUCUGGAGGAGUAACCCUACCAUUUCCUAGAGCUUUGAUUAUUGUUUUUAUUGACAUGUGUGCUUUCCAGAAUAGCUAAGUAAAAUUUCCCUUUAUUUUAGAUGUAGGGCCAAAGAACCCUCUGUUUAUUGUUCCCACCUCAUUUUCUUCAUCUUUCCUUACAACUCUCUGGUUUAGGCUGUUUGACUCACCAACAGCUUUGCUUCAGAAUUUUAUUCUCUAGUGAAAUACCUCUACCACUUCCUCAGCUGUGAUUAAAUUACUGUAUUAUUGUCUUGUAAGGAGAAGUCAUGUGUCACUGAAGACAUCUAUGUUCUGGGAUGCCAUUAUGCAUGCCCUGAUGAAUUUAUGAGGAGAAUUUACCUCUUGCCUUCUCUUUCUGUCCAGGCAGCCUCUCUAUUGCUGGUACCUGCUCCCCAAACAUGGGCCCACGUUCACCCUUCUUACAGUCUCAUGUUGGCAGAUUUAUGUGGCUAAUACAAAUUUUUGCUCAUCUUAUCAGACAGUUCAAGCUGAUGCAUUGCACUCCAGGCUAUCUCAUCUUUGUUCAGCCAAAUUUACAAUAAGAAAGGUAACUUUAUGAGAACAGAUAUUGUACCAGAGACAUCAGUGUCUCAGGCUGGCCUGCCAAGGCAUCUAAAUGGUGUCCAUCAGCACAUGCAGACUCUCAGACUGAGCAUGACUGAAUUUGGUCUCCAGCCCUUCCAGACAGAUUUGGAUUAGUUUUGUGAUCCCUUUUUUCUAAAGCAUUUGUGUUUGAAAGAGUCACCACAUUUUAACAAUUGUCCUUUCUGGGCUUGUACAGUUCCAAACUUGCAGUGUCACAUCAAGUGUGGUACAGUGGAAGAGCAAUUCUACAGCAUCAGGGAGAAAAACUCUAAAUGUUCUACUGCAAAUAUUCAAGAAUGAUGUGACUGGCACUCCAGAUUAACUUCUCUUUCCAAGGGAAGAGUUAAACUACUGCUUUGUGAGCUCAGUUUGUUCUGGCAAUGGCACUUCAUUGGCUUCUUUCUCCAGCAGCACAGUGGAGCCUUUUGUAAUGCUCUCAAUGGCCAUACUUGUAAACUGGUUUCUUCCUGAAGUGUUUUUCUACUGUGGGGUUUUUUUUUUUAAAUUAUUUAUUUUAUUUAAAAUUUUUUUUUGUGACUUUCAGUAAUGCUUCUUUCAAGUAAACCCCACAAACCCACAGAUAAUAACUGAAAACUUGUUAGGAAAGAUGCUGUUCCAGCAUAUUUUUGGUGGGAUAUGGUACAGCCUUGUAUCAAAGUAUGUUUGGUUCCAGGGUUGUUGAGUACUGAACGAAAUCUCUGAAUGCUGGCUAAUAAAACAGUAAAGACUGAGAUGUCUUUGCCCAUGUUGUUUUGAAAUCCUCUUUCUGUUGAAGGAAAUCACAGAGUUAGUACUGUGGUUUGUUAUCCUGGCAGAAAUCACAAACUGCAAUGGUGUACAGCUGCUUUUAAACUAAGGUGUAGUGGGGUUAGUCAUACUGCUUUGCCAGUGGUCUUAGGCAUUGUGGGGUUAAUAAAGAUUUGUGUUACAGUGGCAUGUUCUUGGAACCACUCACUAUUUUUUUUAAUUAAACAAAAGAACAAUAUCCAGAGAGGACUCUGAAAUAAAAUGAAAUUUAUCCUGGGUUAUAACACUGUAGCAGGGAAAGGUAGUCAAACUGGAACCCUGGGAUGGUGUGUCAGGCUUGGCUGUUUCUUGGAGAAAAAAAAAUCAUUUCAGAGAGACUGGAGUUUUGAUUAGGAGGUGUGAAAGCUGAAGAAGAAGAAGAGAGGAAAUUUGGAAAGGAAUUAUCAUAACUAGGAAGAAGAAGUAAUAUUGUAACUGAAUAAACAGCAAAAUCUGCAUGUGCAACAGUCUUGAUGCAGAGAUACCAGAGCAAUGCUGCUUUCUGUACAACUAAAGGUAUAAAAAUGCUGUUUUUUCAUAAUUUUGGAACUGAAUUAAUGAACUACUCCAAUAAACAUCUUUUUUUUUUCCUGGC